RNAcentral lists this ribosomal RNA (504 nucleotides) under uncultured bacterium. RNAcentral's name for it is "bacterial SSU rRNA". It matches the Rfam family "Bacterial small subunit ribosomal RNA", at positions 24 to 518 of the family's 1533-position model. The record is from RNAcentral.
UCAGGAUGAACGCUAGCGAUAGGCCUAACACAUGCAAGUCGAGGGGCAGCACAUGAGUAGCAAUACGAUGGUGGCGACCGGCGCACGGGUGAGUAACACGUAUGCAACCUACCUUUAACAGGGGAAUAACCCGUUGAAAAACGGACUAAUACUCCAUAACACAGGGGUCCCGCAUGGGAAUAUUUGUUAAAGAUUAAUCGGUUGAAGAUGGGCAUGCGUUCCAUUAGCUUGUUGGUGAGGUAACGGCUCACCAAGGCCACGAUGGAUAGGGGAACUGAGAGGUUUAUCCCCCACACUGGAACUGAGACACGGUCCAGACUCCUACGGGAGGCAGCAGUGAGGAAUAUUGGUCAAUGGAGGCAACUCUGAACCAGCCAAGUCGCGUGAAGGAAUGAAGGUCUUAUGGAUUGUAAACUUCUUUUGCAAGGGAAUAAAGUGGGGGACGUGUCCUCCUUUGCAUGUACCUUGCGAAUAAGGAUCGGCUAACUCCGUGCCAGCAGCUGC